Molecule: ribosomal RNA, 301 nt
Filed under: uncultured bacterium
Lineage: Bacteria
Description: partial 16S ribosomal RNA
Rfam family: Bacterial small subunit ribosomal RNA
Source: RNAcentral
CAGCAGCCGCGGUAAGACAGAGGAUGCAAGCGUUAUCCGGAAUGAUUGGGCGUAAAGCGUCUGUAGGUGGUUUUUCAAGUCCGCCGUCAAAUCCCAGGGCUCAACCCUGGACAGGCGGUGGAAACUACCAAGCUGGAGUACGGUAGGGGCAGAGGGAAUUUCCGGUGGAACGGUGAAAUGCGUUGAGAUCGGAAAGAGCACCAACGGCGAAAGCACUCUGCUGGGCCGACACUGACACUGAGAGACGAAAGCUAGGGGAGCAAAUGGGAUUAGAUACCCCUGUAGUCCCUGUCUCUUAUAC